UUCUAAUAGAAAAGAGAAGAUACAAAAUUCAAGUCUCAUCACUUUGGCCAACCUUUCUCCUUCAGGGUUGGCAAAUACAGCAGCAGAGGGGAUGCACCCAGAGGAAAACAUCUGUAUCAUUGAGGAAAACGUAUAUGAAGUGGAGGAUCCAUACGAAUGUUACUGCUCCAUCAACAGUGGGCAGCAAUCCUAACAACCUCUGGGCUGCUGUCACCUUUCAACGCCACCAGAUUCAACCACUUCAUUUAGGGGCUUGGUGUUGUCUUCUUUGAAAACAUGAGAUAGCUCAGCUGACUGAUUUGAGACAUUCUGUCCUUGGCCACCGAGCAGAGUUUUUCCAUAUUUUAAAGAUAACUAACUCACUCGAGGAUUGAGCUGGGACCUGUGUGGUAAUACGCAGGCACUACAUUGCCUCUGAGUUCCAUCCACCCAACUCAGAGACUGCUAAUUGGGACAUUAGAGCUCCAGUGGGCUUUUACAGAGAAUAAGAAUUCUUAAUAUGGGAUCUCUGGAAUUCUAGAUAUUCGAUUACACAGUGUGUCCCUGAAACUCCUGAAAAUACAGGGGAAAUUACGUGCUGA
Long non-coding RNA from Bubalus bubalis (water buffalo), 581 nucleotides. RefSeq lists it as uncharacterized. NCBI's taxonomy places the organism in Eukaryota, Metazoa, Chordata, Mammalia, Artiodactyla, Bovidae. The transcript has 2 exons. The record is from RefSeq and is a predicted model, not a curated record.